RNAcentral lists this ribosomal RNA (373 nucleotides) under uncultured phototrophic eukaryote. RNAcentral's name for it is "bacterial SSU rRNA". It matches the Rfam family "Bacterial small subunit ribosomal RNA", at positions 430 to 818 of the family's 1533-position model. The record is from RNAcentral.
CCUCUUUUCUCAAGGAAGAAGUUCUGACGGUACUUGAGGAAUAAGCAUCGGCUAACUCUGUGCCAGCAGCCGCGGUAAUACAGAGGAUGCAAGCGUUAUCCGGAAUCACUGGGCAUAAAGCGUCUGUAGGUUGCUUAUCAAGUCUGCUGUUAAAGACCAGGGCCUAACCCUGGGAAAGCAGUGGAAACUAGUAGGCUUGAGUGUGGUAGAGGUAGAGGGAAUUCCUGGUGUAGCGGUGAAAUGCGUAGAUAUUAGGAAGAACACCAACGGCGAAAGCACUCUACUGGGCCAUAACUGACACUGAGAGACGACAGCUAGGGGAGCAAAUGGGAUUAGAUACCCCAGUAGUCCUAGCCGUAAACGAUGGAUACUA